RNAcentral lists this ribosomal RNA (450 nucleotides) under uncultured bacterium. Its description in RNAcentral is "partial 16S ribosomal RNA". It matches the Rfam family "Bacterial small subunit ribosomal RNA", at positions 354 to 796 of the family's 1533-position model. The record is from RNAcentral.
GUGGGGAAUAUUGGGCAAUGGGGGAAACCCUGACCCAGCGACGCCGCGUGAGUGAAGAAGGCCUUCGGGUCGUAAAGCUCUGUCAUCAGGGACGAACGGCCGGUGGAGUGGAAAGCCACCGGAUUGACGGUACCUGAGAAGGAAGCCACGGCUAACUACGUGCCAGCAGCCGCGGUAAUACGUAGGUGGCAAGCGUUGUCCGGAAUUAUUGGGCGUAAAGCGCGCGCAGGUGGGAUCUUAAGUCCAUUUUUAAAGUUCGGAGCACAACUCCGUGAUGGGAUGGAAACUGGGAUUCUUGAGUACCGGGGAGGAAAGCGGAAUUCCCCGUGUAGCGGUGAAAUGCGUAGAUAUGGGGAGGAACACCAGUGGCGAAGGCGGCUUUCUGGACGGUGUCUGACACUGAGGCGCGAAAGCUAGGGGAGCGAACGGGAUUAGAUACCCCUGUAGUCC